Molecule: ribosomal RNA, 254 nt
Filed under: uncultured bacterium
Lineage: Bacteria
Description: partial 16S ribosomal RNA
Rfam family: Bacterial small subunit ribosomal RNA
Source: RNAcentral
UACGUAGGGCGCAAGCGUUGUCCGGAAUUAUUGGGCGUAAAGGGCUCGUAGGCGGCCAACUAAGUCAGACGUGAAAUCCCUCGGCUUAACCGGGGAACUGCGUCUGAUACUGGAUGGCUUGAGUUUGGGAGAGGGAUGCGGAAUUCCAGGUGUAGCGGUGAAAUGCGUAGAUAUCUGGAGGAACACCGGUGGCGAAGGCGGCAUCCUGGACCAACACUGACGCUGAGUGAGCGAAAGCCAGGGGAGCAAACGGG